GACUUUGCGCAGUGGCAGUAUCGUAGCCAAUGAGGUUUAUCCGAGGCGCGAUUAUUGCUAAUUGAAGACUUUGUCCUGACUCGGCUCCCUCCCCCACCCUAAAUCAACUUCCGGCUGAUGGUGGAGAAUGCCCAGUUCUUGAAGGGCCCGCUGUC
Molecule: small nuclear RNA, 155 nt
Filed under: Neogale vison (American mink)
Lineage: Eukaryota; Metazoa; Chordata; Mammalia; Carnivora; Mustelidae
Description: Neovison vison (American mink) U4 spliceosomal RNA (ENSNVIG00000022877.1)
Rfam family: U4 spliceosomal RNA
About the family: U4 small nuclear RNA (U4 snRNA) is a component of the major U2-dependent spliceosome. The structure of U4 snRNA from yeast and human has been reported.
Source: RNAcentral